Amaranthus tricolor (Joseph's coat) is the source of this 2210-nucleotide RNA transcript. RefSeq lists it as uncharacterized. NCBI's taxonomy places the organism in Eukaryota, Viridiplantae, Streptophyta, Magnoliopsida, Caryophyllales, Amaranthaceae. The record is from RefSeq and is a predicted model, not a curated record. The transcript is spliced from 4 exons.
GGUAUAAAAUUCAUACCCACCGCGGGGAUGGGGAUGGGGAUGGGUUUUAGGUGUUACCCGCCCCAUCCCCGCCCCGCCCCGCCUUACGAAAUGUACAAAUUUUGAAAAUUGGAAUACCCUAAAUUAUUUUUCAAAUUUCUGAAUUUUUUAAACCUUGAAUUAUUUUCAAAUUUUUUAAAAAACUUUGGAUUGGGCCUUUGAAAACAGAAAACUUUUAAAAAUUAUUUGCUUCACAGUCACAGUUCACUGCUUCAAAAAUCAAAACCCUAAAUUAUUUCUUUCAAAACCUAAUGCUGGCCGUCAUUUCUCAUUUGCUUCACUCAUUCUGUCAUUCACUGGUCACUGCUUCAUUUGCUUCACUGCUGCACUCUCUCCCAUCUUCUUCUUCUUGAAACACUCUUUUCUCUCUUCUUGAAACUGCAUAUCGUCAUCUUCUUUAAUCGUCUCUCUUUUCUCCAGUCAAUCGUCAUCUUCUUCAAUCUUGAAACCAUCAAUAGGAGGUUCUAGUUCCAAAAGAAAGGUCACUUCAACUCCGUCGGUAUCAACAACACCUUCGAUUAGUAAUUAUAAUUAUGAACCAAAUUAUCCAGAAGGGUACGACCAAGAAUUACACGAUUAUGUAGAAGAAGUGGAAAGAGAAAUAACAAAUUGAUGAAGAAGAAGAACAAGAAGAGGAACCAACGACCCCUAUUGAGAUACAAAGAUCUCGACAGUCAUCAACAAGAUCACAUGAAGAACAACUACAACAACAACAACAAAGACAAGCUCGUGGUAAACGAGUCAAUUAAUUUCCAAACUAUCGAUGAAGAUGAACCAGUAAGACAACAUUUUCUGGCGAUACCACCUCCUAGUGGUAGAGUUGUUUCACAUGUGUGGUGGUGGUACGGGAUCUUUUAACAAACAUUUGGCAAAGAAGCAUGGAAUCACAAAAGAAACUCAUGCAGCAAGUGGCAGCGGGACCACAAGUGGAAGCCGACAGUGGGACAUUCCCAGCGUGUAACAACCGUUUUUUUUUAAAAUAAUAAUAAUAAUAAUCCAAGAACGAUCCAAGAACGCAUGAGGGAAGCGCAAGAUCGUCAGAAGUCGUAUGCAGACAAAAAGAGGAGAGCAUUAGAGUUUGAAGUAGGUGAACAAGUUUUGCUCAAAGUGUCACCAACCAAGGGUGUCAUGAGAUUUGGUAAGAAGGGUAAAUUGAGUCCUCGUUUUAUAGGUCCUUAUGAAGUAUUGGAACGAAUUGGGGAAGUAGCCUAUAGAUUAGCCCUACCUAUGAACCUAGCUAAAGUCCACAAUGUUUUCCAUGUAUCCCAACUCCGAAAAUAUGUCCAUGACCCUUCACAUAUCAUACAACCUGAAACCAUUGAACUUGAUGAAACCCUUACCUUUGAAGAAAAACCAAUAAAAAUCCUUGAUACCAAAACAAGAUGUACCCGGAACAAGGAAAUUAAGUUGGUCAAGAUAUUAUGGACGAACCAGCAAACCGAAGAAGCUACAUGGGAAAUCGAAGUUGACAUGAGAAAGCGAUAACCCGAACUGUUCGAACAGGUACGUUGAGUUUCGAGGACGAAACUUUUUAAAAUAGGGGGGUGAUGCGAGUCUAUCAAAACCGUCCAAUCUUGUUUUUCUUUUAAAACAUCAGUAGUUAACUUUAAGUUUGAGGACGAACUUUUGUUUUAAGGGGGAGUGUAUGUAACAACCGUUUUUUUUAAAAAUAAUAAUAAUAAUAAUAAUGAAUAAAUUUCAGAAAAAAAAAAAUAAAAAAAAUAAAAAAAUAAAAACAUAACCUCCCCCACCAUUAACAAUAACUUCCCACACCAUUAACAAUAACUUCCCACUCCUUCCUCUAAACCUUAUAACCAACUUCACUUACCUCUUAUAAAUUAAACCAAUUACCCUUAAUUUCAUUCACAUUAUUACUCACAAUCCCUUCUUCUCCUACAAAUUACUUCCUUUAUCUUCCAAUUGCUUAAAAUUCAGUCAAGAAAACGCAAGAUUUCGAUAUUAACGACAGUGAAUUCGUAGACAGAGAUUAUUAGGAGCGUACGUUGUCUAGGAUCGCGUGACAAGGUAAUUCUCAAUGUCCAUCUAAUUAGGACUAUCCCGUUAGUAUUAUGUGCUAAGUGAUAAUUAAUGUGUUUAAAUGGGUGCAUGAUUUGAUAUGACAUUAUUUUAUAUGAUGUUAUGCUUAAUAUAUUCUCAAAUUAUAUUUACUA